Molecule: ribosomal RNA, 490 nt
Filed under: uncultured bacterium
Lineage: Bacteria
Description: partial 16S ribosomal RNA
Rfam family: Bacterial small subunit ribosomal RNA
Source: RNAcentral
AUUGAACGCUGGCGGCAGGCCUAACACAUGCAAGUCGAACGGUAACAGGAAGCAGCUUGCUGCUUCGCUGACGAGUGGCGGACGGGUGAGUAAUGUCUGGGAAGCUGCCUGAUGGAGGGGGAUAACUACUGGAAACGGUAGCUAAUACCGCAUAAUGUCGCAAGACCAAAGAGGGGGACCUUCGGGCCUCUUGCCAUCGGAUGUGCCCAGAUGGGAUUAGCUUGUUGGUGGGGUAACGGCUCACCAAGGCGACGAUCCCUAGCUGGUCUGAGAGGAUGACCAGCCACACUGGGACUGAGACACGGUCCAGACUCCUACGGGAGGCAGCAGUAGGGAAUAUUGCACAAUGGGCGCAAGCCUGAUGCAGCCAUGCCGCGUGUAUGAAGAAGGCCUUCGGGUUGUAAAGUACUUUCAGCGGGGAGGAAGGGAGUAAAGUUAAUACCUUUGCUCAUUGACGUUACCCGCAGAAGAAGCACCGGCCAACUCCGUG